GACGAACGCUGGCGGCGUGCUUAACACAUGCAAGUCGAACGGACAGGCCCUGCUUUUGUGGGGUGCUCGAGUGGCGAACGGGUGAGUAACACGUGAGUAACCUGCCCUUGACUUAGGGAUAACUUCAGGAAACUGGGGCUAAUACCGGAUAGGAGCUCCUGCUGCAUGGUGGGGGUUGGAAAGUUUCGGCGGUUGGGGAUGGACUCGCGGCUUAUCAGCUUGUUGGUGGGGUAGUGGCUUACCAAGGCUUUGACGGGUAGCCGGCCUGAGAGGGUGACCGGCCACAUUGGGACUGAGAUACGGCCCAGACUCCUACGGGAGGCAGCAGUGGGGAAUAUUGCACAAUGGGCGGAAGCCUGAUGCAGCAACGCCGCGUGCGGGAUGACGGCCUUCGGGUUGUAAACCGCUUUCGCCUGUGACGAAGCGUGAGUGACGGUAAUGGGUAAAGAAGCACCGGCUAACUACGUG
This 468-nucleotide ribosomal RNA is filed under the name uncultured bacterium. Its description in RNAcentral is "partial 16S ribosomal RNA". It matches the Rfam family "Bacterial small subunit ribosomal RNA", at positions 28 to 507 of the family's 1533-position model. The record is from RNAcentral.